AGGUCCGUGACGGGUAGGCUGGCUAAUAAGCGAAAGCAGAACGAUAAAGAAACAGAACGAUAACGAAAGAAGGUAGAUGGAGAAACCGAUGAAGAAUGGGAACAAGAAGUCGAUGAAGGGCAAGUGAUGAAGAUGGUUAUCAAGAAGCGAAGCCCGCCGAAGGAUUACAACGCAUCAUCAGGUUUUCGUGGUGACGAUGGUGUGUUUUUUGGUUGGCUGCUAUGUGUUGUGAAGAUGGAUGUUGUUGUGAAGACCAUUUUUUAGAAGCAUUACAACUAUUGAUAUAAAAUUCAUUUUUAUUUUCAUUUUCAUUGUUAGUAUGCCCAUUUUUGGAUGAA
Helianthus annuus (common sunflower) is the source of this 338-nucleotide long non-coding RNA. RefSeq lists it as uncharacterized. NCBI's taxonomy places the organism in Eukaryota, Viridiplantae, Streptophyta, Magnoliopsida, Asterales, Asteraceae. The record is from RefSeq and is a predicted model, not a curated record. The transcript has 2 exons.